RNAcentral lists this long non-coding RNA (469 nucleotides) under Mustela putorius furo (domestic ferret). RNAcentral's name for it is "lncRNA (ENSMPUG00000025700.1)". The record is from RNAcentral. Lineage: Eukaryota; Metazoa; Chordata; Mammalia; Carnivora; Mustelidae.
CUUUAUGAGACUAAUUAUCCACAAAGGAAAGAAUAUUUCUCCUAUUAGCUUGGUUUGGUCUUGACCUUUAGGCACCACUGCUACCAUCAACCCCAACUAUCAUUGUGCUGAGAAACAUUUUCCUCUUACAGCUGAAACCUGACAGCUUUACAAGAGCAACCGCUGGAGCUAGCUGGAAGAAUAAAUUAUAAGAAUACUUAAUAAGAUCUCUUAGACUCAGAUAUCCUUCUGGUGGAGAUGCCUACUAGGUAGAAACUCCCCAGUAUAAAAGUACAUGCUCUCCAACCUGAACACUAGCAAGAACACAUGCUCCGGACGGAUAGAGAAAUCCACUAUGUUCCUGCUUGAGGGCAAAGAAACUCCAAGAGAUGCAGAUCUUCAGCCAGAGAUACAGAAAAAGAGCCAAGUCGCAAGUAUACUGGGACGGAGCAAGGCAGCCAUUUUGACAAUACCCAAGAAAAUGACAUAG